GCCGGGGUGGCGGAACUGGCAGACGCACAGGACUUAAAAUGCUGCGGUGAGUGAUCACCGUACCGGUUCGAUUCCGGUCCUCGGCACCA
RNAcentral lists this transfer RNA (89 nucleotides) under Staphylococcus aureus. RNAcentral's name for it is "tRNA-Leu". It matches the Rfam family "tRNA". From Rfam's summary of the family: Transfer RNA (tRNA) molecules are approximately 80 nucleotides in length. Their secondary structure includes four short double-helical elements and three loops (D, anti-codon, and T loops). Lineage: Bacteria; Bacillati; Bacillota; Bacilli; Caryophanales; Staphylococcaceae. The record is from RNAcentral.